This 78-nucleotide transfer RNA is filed under the name archaeon. RNAcentral describes it as "tRNA-Ala". It matches the Rfam family "tRNA". From Rfam's summary of the family: Transfer RNA (tRNA) molecules are approximately 80 nucleotides in length. Their secondary structure includes four short double-helical elements and three loops (D, anti-codon, and T loops). The record is from RNAcentral. RNAcentral also lists the same sequence under 2 other names.
GGGCUGGUAGUUCAGUCUGGUACGAACGCUGCCUUCGCAAGGCAGAAGCCGCGGGUUCAAUUCCCGCCCAGUCCACCA